GCCAGUUCUUUCUGACCGUGGAGACUUCUGCAGGUCUGCUGGCCCUCUUAUCAUGGUAUUUAUGCCAGGUUCUUGGACCCUUUUUGCCUGUUCCUGCUUUGGAGAAUCAGGGUUUGUGGUGGCCAGAAUGUUACAUGUUAAAGGAUGACUGACUCAGAGUCUUAUGGAAAAGGACUAUGCUGGGGACUCCUGGACUUCUGUGCCUAGAUUCUGAUGGCAUUGCUUAAAUACCUUCAAGAUUAUACCAUUGGAUUGAGUCAAGAUUUCUGGAAUGCUUGCAGAGAGCAGAUGGAUUCAUGAGAUUGCUAACCUGCUACUGAAUAUAAUAAAAAUUAAUUACAUAGGACUGAAUUAAGUAAUGAAGAUGAUUUUUUAAGUAUUGCUAU
Molecule: long non-coding RNA, 386 nt
Organism: Bubalus bubalis (water buffalo)
Lineage: Eukaryota; Metazoa; Chordata; Mammalia; Artiodactyla; Bovidae
Exons: 3
Source: RefSeq, a predicted model, not a curated record